UGGGGAAUCUUGCGCAAUGGGCGAAAGCCUGACGCAGCAACGCCGCGUGAGGGAUGAAGGCCUUCGGGUUGUAAACCUCUUUCAAGCAGGGACGAUAGUGACGGUACCUGCAGAAGAAGCUCCGGCCAACUACGUGCCAGCAGCCGCGGUGAUACGUAGGGAGCGAGCGUUGUCCGGAUUCAUUGGGCGUAAAGAGCUCGUAGGCGGCUCAGUAAGUCAGGUGUGAAAUCCUCAGGCUCAACCUGGGGUCGCCAUCUGAUACUGCUGUGGCUAGAGCCCGGUAGGGGCGCACGGAAUUCCUGGUGUAGCGGUGAAAUGCGCAGAUAUCAGGAGGAACACCGGUGGCGAAGGCGGUGCGCUGGGCCGGAGCUGACGCUGAGGAGCGAAAGCGUGGGGAGCGAACAGGAUUAGAUACCCCCGUAGUCC
Molecule: ribosomal RNA, 426 nt
Filed under: uncultured bacterium
Lineage: Bacteria
Description: bacterial SSU rRNA
Rfam family: Bacterial small subunit ribosomal RNA
Source: RNAcentral